GAUAAAUUCUACUUGCAUCUUCAUGAGCAGAUUUUGGACAAAGUUAUUCCAUAUGCAGGGUACUAAAUUGAAAAGGAGUACGACAUAUCACCCACAAACCAACAGCCAGACAGAAGUUUUAAAUAGGUGCUUGGAGACAGCCCAAAGCCAUCCACCAAAUAUGACUACCCAAAGAGAACUCCAGACCCAGCCAAGUGCCAUUAUUGAUCGACGGAUC
This 217-nucleotide long non-coding RNA is filed under the name Musa acuminata (dwarf banana). RNAcentral's name for it is "long non-coding RNA (MACU_LNC011606)". The record is from RNAcentral. Lineage: Eukaryota; Viridiplantae; Streptophyta; Magnoliopsida; Zingiberales; Musaceae.